Molecule: ribosomal RNA, 403 nt
Filed under: uncultured bacterium
Lineage: Bacteria
Description: partial 16S ribosomal RNA
Rfam family: Bacterial small subunit ribosomal RNA
Source: RNAcentral
GACGAACGCUGGCGGCGUGCCUAAUACAUGCAAGUCGAACGCAGUGGGGACGGGUGAGUAACACGUGGGUAACCUCCCAUCAGAGGGGAUAACACUUGGAAACAGGUGCUAAACCGAUACUGAUGGAUGGACCCGCGGUGCAUUAGCUAGUUGGUGAGGUAACGGCUCACCAAGGCCACGAUGCAUAGCCGACCGGAGAGGAUGUUCAGCCACACUGGAACUGAGACACGGCCCAGACUCCUACGGGAGGCAGCAGUGGGGAAUAUUUGACAAUGGACGAAAGUCUGACCCAGCAACGCCGCGUGAGUGAAGAAGGUUUUCGGAUCGUAAAACACUGUAGUUAGGGAAGCGGUAUCUAAACAGUAAGCCACGGCUAACUACGUGCCAGCAGCCGCGGUAAUAC